RNAcentral lists this microRNA precursor (110 nucleotides) under Dasypus novemcinctus (nine-banded armadillo). RNAcentral's name for it is "microRNA 144 (ENSDNOG00000025977.2)". The stretch from base 11 to 88 matches the Rfam family "mir-144 microRNA precursor family". Lineage: Eukaryota; Metazoa; Chordata; Mammalia; Cingulata; Dasypodidae. The record is from RNAcentral.
CCCCUGCAGGGCCCUGGCUGGGAUAUCAUCAUAUACUGUAAGUUUGCAAUGAGAUACUACAGUAUAGAUGAUGUACUAGUCCGGGUACCCCAGCUCUGGAGCCUGACAAG